Molecule: long non-coding RNA, 5597 nt
Filed under: Capra hircus (goat)
Lineage: Eukaryota; Metazoa; Chordata; Mammalia; Artiodactyla; Bovidae
Description: lncRNA (ENSCHIG00000007567.1)
Source: RNAcentral
AUGGUGGAGUCUCUGUUUCCCCCAGUCCUCUGGAAGGCCUGUAAUCAAAUUCCACUGGCCCUCAAGGCUGGAUGCCCAGCCCCGUUGUUGGAUCCCCUGGCUGGGAAGCCUCACGUGGGGCGCAGAGCCUUCAGCGCGGCGCUUGCGCCUCUUCGGUGCCUGUCUCCCAGUCUGUGGCUGGCCCUUCGGCACAGUGGGGUUGCUGGCCGUGCCCGCUGGUCUCUGCGGCCAGCCUGCUGGCCUCUCCGUGGGGCUCGUGGGGACUCGGGGCCUGGGGACGCUCUGCCCUGGCUGGUUGUUGAGAGGCUUGCUGCCUUAGGAGGAGUGGGCGGGCUGAGAGGAAGUGAGGAGACCGGAGGGAAGCAGGGUGUGGCUGGGGGGCCAGGGCGGAGGUGGGGCAGUGUCCUCUCUGCUGGCCAAGCGAGGCACGAGGCUGAGCCAGGGCAGCACCGCACCGGCCUCUCCGUGGGCUCGCCCUCCGUCCCCCGCAGCCCACGCCUCCCGCUCCGGAUCUGCUGGGUGCCUCCUACGGCAGACACCCCUCCCAGGCUCCGUCCCGCCUCCAGCCCUGCCUCUGGGCCUGCAGGCCUUGGCUCUCCACCCCUGAGCCCUGGGGUCACAAGUGGGGCACAGCUGGGCUGCCAGGCUCCCAGGGCCUCCUGAGGAGGGUGCCGGGUGUGUGGACCGUGGUCACGCCCCUGCCCUCUCUCCGCCCGGAAGCCCAGGGGCUCCCAGAGCUGGAGGCCCGAGCACGUGGGCCCUCCACCCGCCUCCUGCACGGGUCCCUGGAAGGUGCGCUGGGCCCUUCCACACCUGCCAGGGGUGCAGUGAGAGUUUGGGCCAAGAGUCGUGGGACGGGUCUCCGUUUGACUCUAGCGCUGGCGGACGACCUCCAGGAGCAUGCCUGCUGCCUGCAGAGCUGGCCUCGCAGGGGCCGCCCCGACAGUCGCCCGUCCGGCGGGGCUGACAACCCGGGAGGAGAGGGGCUCCGGCACCUUGCACCACGAAGUUCACCGCCUGCCGCUCCGCCUGUGCCCGAAGCUGCGGGUCGUGAGCUCGGAUCCUGGGCAGUGGCCUCCUGCGGCCCAUGAUGGACUCCACGUAGCCUGCGGUCCGGGAGGAAAGCAGGCGGAGGGCAGUGGGGAGCGGGAACGGCGCCCAGGGCCCUGCCCUCUGGCCGCAGCUGCUCCAGCGGAGGUCCAGCCCAACGCCCCGCCCCACCCCGCCCCACCCCGCCGCAGCCAGAGCUCCGCCCAGAGGCCUUCAGUCCGUGUCCAGCGCAAAACACGCUGUUCUGUGUGGACACGGAUUCUGUGUCGGGAAGCGGGACAGAGGCAGGGGCCUGGGCUUGCCUAGUGGCAAGCUUCACACCCUCUGUGACUUCUGUGAUGCACUUAGAUCUGACAUGGGACAGAAGGGUGAUUUUUACACUAAAAGGUGAAAAGCCACGUGGGGGACUUGGGUGCAGGAGUAAUUCUAGACAGUGGCAGCUGGAACUGGGGAGGAAACAUCAACCCUUGGUCUGCUCAGGGAGCGGCUGGGGGUCUGCGCACAUCCCUUACUCCAGGGCCGGGCUCCGUGGGCCCCAAGCUUCCGUCCCUGGGAUCCUCUUUAGGGAAAAGAGCCAAGAAGUGCCCUGUUGGUGAUGCUCCUGACCGGUGAGGACGCUGGCUUUGCUAGGUGUUGGUAAGAACUAAAUCCCCAGCUUGAUCUUACACGUGUCUGGGGCCUGGGAGAACCACUAGUACACGUGGUCAUUACAAGAACGACCGUGUCCUGAGCGCUGGCUACAGAGCGCCUAGUGAAGGCCGCCUCUGCCUCUGUGGUUUCCCAGGGAUUUCUGACUGCAUGCCGGGCACCGUGCUUCCUAAGCCUGCAUCGUCUGGGUGGACUUGCUCACUUGCGGGCCACGUCCCAGGGUUGGGGCUCCAGGGAAGCAAUGAGCUCCUGGUGUCAGCACGGUGCCUGGCACUGGGUAGGCGUUCAACACACGCGUGUGGCAUAACUGAGCAUCACUCUCUGCUCACAUGUGCAACGCUGGGUCAGAGGGCACCUGCGCUUCGCGCUGGGAAAAGGUACUGGGCAGGCCUGCAGGGCCUCCCGCGGAAGGGACCCUGGCCUCACCGGGCAGCCGGGGGCGGGGCGGGGGUCCCAGCUGGCACCUCCGCGAGCCCCGUGGACUCGGGAAGCGGCUGUCCCCUUGGUCUCCUCCUCUCCCUCUGGAAGUGGGCAACGGGGCCGCCCAGGCGUCUGAGUCGUGGUGAGGACUAGGUCAGUGUGAUGGGAGCCCGUCGACACCGGCCCACGCCACGUGGCACAAGGGCCUGCAUUUGACUGUCUCCACCCGCAGUGGCUCCGUGGACUGACUCAUUAACACUGCUUCUGUCACCGUCUAACCUUUCGUAAUCGGUGGCCUUUUGUCCCAUCCAGCUGUGGGGGUCACCCUCGGCCCAGGGAGCCUGAGGCCCGUGGGGCGCUCCUGGGGGGUGGAGAUGGUUUGCCGGCUUCCUGGAGCCCCCAGGAGGCUGCCGCACCUGAGCACUGACCUGGCCCCGCUCGGGCUGGUCAGCCCAGGGGGAGCUGUGCUCGCGGGCUCCUGAGAGAGGGUCAGCAGUGAGCCCCUGGGGCGGGGGUGGGCCCCGGACCUGCUCUGGGAUGCGCGCCGAGCCCCGCUCCGCGUCUGUUCCAGGAGCCGCCGUGGCGCCGACCUCCUCCCCCUUUCGUCUGCUCUGCUGCUCUUUGCCACGUGUCUCGGGUGGAGGACUGUCUUUUAUGUCCACAGACUUGUCUUCCUUUUUGAAACACUUAAAAAAAAUCCCUUCAUCUUUAAAUGGUGGCCACGUCUCACCGUUUUACAAUGGGACACUUAUACUGGCAUUCAUUUCUGAAAUGUCUGUCCUUCACUUGGGACUUUUUAGAGCCCUACACUGGAGACUUCCCCGGUGGCCCAGCGGUUGAGACUCCGUGCUUCCACUGCAGGGGCGAGGGUUGGAUCCCUGGUUGGGGAACUAAGAUCCCCCGUGCCGUGAGGUGCACCCAAAGAAACAACCAAGAAAAAUAAUCUCCAAGAUGAUCCAGGAAAGCGGUGAGCCUUUCAAGCAGGCAGAUGGACGGAUGGCCUCAGGUGCAGAUGUGAAGCUGCCUUCCUAUCCCACCAUGGUCACAGAACAGCUUCUAUUUGAUAUCCUUGGAAAUCUGUGGCCAGACUGUGGGCAAAUUCUGUAGCUAAACCACAGCUUUCCAUUUCCAGGUGCGGGACUCGCUCUCUCCGUGAGCCCGCCCACUCAGCAUUUCCCACUCACGCCGGGGGGGUGAGGCCUUGAGGAGGGCCUGGCUCUGGACCCUCCUCACAUGGAGUUUGUGGUCCCACCUCCCCAGCGGGGCGGGAGCUCACCCGGCUCCAGUGGCCCCCACCCCCCACCAGAGGGGGGCCCGGGAGGAGGGGCUGCUGCCCACAGCUGUGCUCGCAGCUGGCUCACCUGUCUGCUGACAUCGAGCAAGGGUUGCUUGGGUGAAGUCCUUUAUUUUCUUGUACUUCUGCAGAAAGCUCUCCAAAAACCGGGCAGCUUCCUGAGCAGGAACUCCGAGGCAAGCAGCAAGCCGGUCCUUCCCUGUGUGAGCAGAAACUCGGUCAGCAGUCAGCCUAACUCUGACCCCGUGGGGCCCAGGGGCACCAAGCAGUGACCAGCAUGCGUGGAAGCGAGUCCACAGAGGCUCUGGAGAGACUCGGGGAGUCAAGGCCUGGUGGGCACUCCUGCCUCUUCUGACCACUCAGGAUGGUGCUGGCUUUUGGCUCCAGGAUCUAAGUGCUUGGUGCUGGCCAGUCUGGACCGGGGCCUGGUAAACGCUCGUUGAUUAGAAUGCUGACCAGGGCGUGGCAGGUGAUUCAGGGGGUGCGGACCCGAUCGCAGCCUGUCCAGAGGGAGGCCUGCCCCAGAACUGGGGAGGCUGGGGAGUGUGGGGGCAUAAAGAGGAAGGGAAAGCCCCCGGGCCAGGUCAUGAGGGUAUGGUGGUGGGGAGCUCCCUUCCAGGGGAUUUUUUUUUUUUAACAAAUACAUCUGGUCCAGGCUAAUAUUUGGUUCUUUCAAAUCAGUUCUUUGGUGAUCUGACGAAGCUUCUUAUAGCAAGAUCUCUGGUCAGAAUAGCACCCCAAGUUCCAGGACAGGACCCCAAGUUCAAGAACAGGACCCCAUGUUCCAGGACAGGACCCAGAGUUCCAGCGCUGCACCCCGAGUUCCAGGACAGCACCCUGAGUUUUAGGGUGACACCCCAAGUUCUAGGAUGACACCUGAGUACCAGGACAAGUCCCCAAGUUCUAGGAUAGAACCCCAAGUUCCAAGAUGGCACCCCGGGUUCCAGGACAGGACCCAAGUUCCAGGAUGGCACCCCGAGUUCCAGGACGGCACCCCGAGUUCCAGGAUGGCACCCCAAGUUCUAGGACAACACCUGAGUUCCGGGACAGGACCCCGAGUUCUAGGACAGUACCCCGAGUUCCAGGAUGGCACCCCGAGUUCCAGGACAUCACCCAGAGUUCCAGGACAGCACCCCAAGUUCCAGGACAGCACCUUGAGUUCCAGGAUGGCACCCGAGUUCCAAGACAGCACCCCGAGUUCCAGGACUGCACCCGGAGUUCCAGGACAGGACCCCGAGUCCCAGGACGGCACCCCGAGUUCCGGGACAACACCCUGAAUUGUGGUUGUCUUCAGGUCCCAGGAAACCACUUGUUUGCUUUCUAUCAGUGCAGAUUUUCUUUUCAUUAUUUUAUUGUGGGAAAAUGCAUAUAACAUAAAGUAUGUCAUACUGUAAAUUAACUGUGAAUGUCCUAGAAUUUCAUUUAAAUGGUGUAAUCAAUUAUAUACUAUAAGUUCUCCUUAUAGUGUCUGGAUUUCUUUUCUCAUUUGGCAUAAUAUUUGAGGCUCAUCCACACUGACAGAUGGAUCAGUAGUUUGUUGGAUCUUUAAUAACUGAGGUGUAGUUGAUGUACUGGAGAAGGCAAUGGCACCCCACUCCAGCACUCUUGCCUGGAAAAUCCCAUGGACAGAGGAGCCUGGUGGGCCGCAGUCCAUGGGGUCGCUAAGAGUCGGACACGACUGAGCGACUUCACUUUCACUUUUCACUUUCAUGCAUUGGAGAAGGCAAUGGCAACCCACUCCAGCGUUCUUGCCUGGAGAAUCCCAGGGGCGGGGGAGCCUGGUGGGCUGCUGUCUAUGGGGUCGCACAGAGUCGGGCGGGACUGCAGUGCCUCGGCGGCAGCAGCAGCAGCCAGUGUCCAGCGCUGGCUUCAGGUCUGCAGCAGGGUGACUCGGGUGUACGUCUCUGCUUCUGAGUUGGACCAAGCUGUCCUCCUUCUUCACAUUUCGUGGUUUCCGGCUGUCCUGGCUUGUAGAUGGCUUGUUGUAGACGCUCUAGGCUCGCCUGUGUUUCUCUCAGCAGCACAGGGUCAGUUAAUUAGGCUCGAGUCAGACUUCAAACUCGGCCCCCCUUGCAGUGGCUGAAGCGGGGCUGUCUGAAGCCGGCCCCUUCGUGCCCAGUCGGGGGGGCAGCCAGAGGUGGGGGCCGAGUUCAAGGUCAGGAUGUGGUGCCCUCCUUCCAUUCGU